This 162-nucleotide small nuclear RNA is filed under the name Cotesia glomerata. RNAcentral describes it as "U1 spliceosomal RNA". It matches the Rfam family "U1 spliceosomal RNA". From Rfam's summary of the family: U1 is a small nuclear RNA (snRNA) component of the spliceosome (involved in pre-mRNA splicing). Its 5' end forms complementary base pairs with the 5' splice junction, thus defining the 5' donor site of an intron. There are significant differences in sequence and secondary structure between metazoan and yeast U1 snRNAs, the latter being much longer (568 nucleotides as compared to 164 nucleotides in human). Lineage: Eukaryota; Metazoa; Arthropoda; Insecta; Hymenoptera; Braconidae. The record is from RNAcentral.
AUAAAUUUUUGGCGCAGAGGAUACCGUGAUCAAUAAGGCGGUUCCUCCAGGACGAGGCUCUUCCAUUGCACUACGGUUGAGCUGACCCCUGCGAAUAUCCCUAAUGUGGAUAUCUCGGGCGUAUUAUUUUUGUUAGUCCAUCUGCGGUGCUUGCUACGUGGC